UAACGUCCGUCGUGAAGAGGGAAACAACCCAGACCGCCAGCUAAGGUCCCAAAGUCAUGGUUAAGUGGGAAACGAUGUGGGAAGGCCCAGACAGCCAGGAUGUUGGCUUAGAAGCAGCCAUCAUUUAAAGAAAGCGUAAUAGCUCACUGGUCGAGUCGGCCUGCGCGGAAGAUGUAACGGGGCUAAACCAUGCACCGAAGCUGCGGCAGCGACGCUUAUGCGUUGUUGGGUAGGGGAGCGUUCUGUAAGCCUGUGAAGGUGUGCUGUGAGGCAUGCUGGAGGUAUCAGAAGUGCGAAUGCUGACAUAAGUAACGAUAAAGCGGGUGAAAAGCCCGCUCGCCGGAAGACCAAGGGUUCCUGUCCAACGUUAAUCGGGGCAGGGUGAGUCGACCCCUAAGGCGAGGCCGAAAGGCGUAGUCGAUGGGAAACAGGUUAAUAUUCCUGUACUUGGUGUUACUGCGAAGGGGGGACGGAGAAGGCUAUGUUGGCCGGGCGACGGUUGUCCCGGUUUAAGCGUGUAGGCUGGUUUUCCAGGCAAAUCCGGAAAAUCAAGGCUGAGGCGUGAUGACGAGGCACUACGGUGCUGAAGCAACAAAUGCCCUGCUUCCAGGAAAAGCCUCUAAGCAUCAGGUAACAUCAAAUCGUACCCCAAACCGACACAGGUGGUCAGGUAGAGAAUACCAAGGCGCUUGAGAGAACUCGGGUGAAGGAACUAGGCAAAAUGGUGCCGUAACUUCGGGAGAAGGCACGCUGAUAUGUAGGUGAAGUCCCUUGCGGAUGGAGCUGAAAUCAGUCGAAGAUACCAGCUGGCUGCAACUGUUUAUUAAAAACACAGCACUGUGCAAACACGAAAGUGGACGUAUACGGUGUGACGCCUGCCCGGUGCCGGAAGGUUAAUUGAUGGGGUUAGCGCAAGCGAAGCUCUUGAUCGAAGCCCCGGUAAACGGCGGCCGUAACUAUAACGGUCCUAAGGUAGCGAAAUUCCUUGUCGGGUAAGUUCCGACCUGCACGAAUGGCGUAAUGAUGGCCAGGCUGUCUCCACCCGAGACUCAGUGAAAUUGAACUCGCUGUGAAGAUGCAGUGUACCCGCGGCAAGACGGAAAGACCCCGUGAACCUUUACUAUAGCUUGACACUGAACAUUGAGCCUUGAUGUGUAGGAUAGGUGGGAGGCUUGGAAGUGUGGACGCCAGUCUGCAUGGAGCCGACCUUGAAAUACCACCCUU
This 1224-nucleotide ribosomal RNA is filed under the name Escherichia coli. RNAcentral describes it as "bacterial LSU rRNA". It matches the Rfam family "Bacterial large subunit ribosomal RNA", at positions 999 to 2207 of the family's 2925-position model. Lineage: Bacteria; Pseudomonadati; Pseudomonadota; Gammaproteobacteria; Enterobacterales; Enterobacteriaceae. The record is from RNAcentral.